ACGAACGCUGGCGGCGUGCUUAACACAUGCAAGUCGAACGGAAAGGCCCUGCUUGCAGGGUGCUCGAGUGGCGAACGGGUGAGUAACACGUGGGUGAUCUGCCCCUUACUUUGGGAUAAGCCUGGGAAACUGGGUCUAAUACUGGAUAGGACCAUGCUGUAGGUGGUGUGGUGGAAAGAUUAGUUUCGGUAAGGGAUGAGCUCGCGGCCUAUCAGCUUGUUGGUGGGGUAAUGGCCUACCAAGGCGUCGACGGGUAGCCGGCCUGAGAGGGUGGACGGCCACAUUGGGACUGAGAUACGGCCCAGACUCCUACGGGAGGCAGCAGUGGGGAAUAUUGCACAAUGGGCGCAAGCCUGAUGCAGCGACGCCGCGUGGGGGAUGACGGCCUUCGGGUUGUAAACUCCUUUCAGCCAUGACGAAGCCCUUGUGGUGACGGUAGUGGUAGAAGAAGCACCGGCCAACUACGUG
Molecule: ribosomal RNA, 468 nt
Filed under: uncultured bacterium
Lineage: Bacteria
Description: partial 16S ribosomal RNA
Rfam family: Bacterial small subunit ribosomal RNA
Source: RNAcentral